CACGUGACCCAAAGCCAGUAGAUAUACUAAUCGGAAAUAAAAUUACCGUUGGGGGCGCCACUGAGCUAGGUCGAAAACAGUAACCAUAAAUGGCGGGAAAAUGUUUAUUCGAAUAUUUUGAGCGUUGUACGAAUUUUGAGGCUUCACAAUUAUUACAUUGCCUAUGCGGAAUGAUUAUUGCAUCAUUGAUGCAAGAAACUUAUGUUGACAAAUGAGAGAUGACGAGGAAAACACGAAUAACGAAUGACUGUUUGGUUCACUUUCUUUAUUGGAAAAUUAUUACAAAGACAUUGAAAAGCCUACCUUUUGGCAUAAUUUACGUUUAAAUGUAUCAGCAGUUGUUAAUCUUUAUUGUAGUUUUGUAGAUUUACCGCAGCAUUUCAUGAUUUUUUCAGUGGAAAAUUCUAACCUAAAAUUCAUAACACUUCACUAAUUUAUUGGUUUCUUGAGCCAAACUUUGUGUUCGCUGUGAUCAAUUACUUAUAAUCUUUAAUUAGACAACUGUUUGAUAACACUUUGUAAUUAAAAUUUAAAUAUUUUUCACUUUUUAUCCACUUUCAAGUUCCAACAAUAAACACUUUAUACCACGAAAAACUACAGAACCAAAGUCAACGCUAGUAUUUACCCCCACGUACUUUUAAAGUAAUUCUUUCUAUUGUAAGUAAUUAACACUAUACACGCAAAAUUGUUGAACAAUUCAUUAAAUGUCAGUUAAAUGUGGCAUUACGAAAAUUUCUUUACUGUUUUCGACAUAGUUCAAAAGUCAUCACCAGAGGGCGUCUAGUUAAUUUUAUUUCCGAAAAGUAGCGACACGGACCUUGACAGGGCAACAAUAACGAUUAUACACUCUACAGAUGGCUCCACCAUCAAAAUUCAAAAACGUACGUCAAAAAUGUCAAGAUUUUUUCACGUUUGAAAAAUUGUUUAUGUGUACAGAUACCAUGAAACCUUCAAACUUGUGCUUCACUCACGUAAAAAUAAAUCAGAUCGUCCCUAAAUUCAACUGAACAUUGCAAUGAGAAAGGCUUUUAGAAUGCGCAGAAUACAGCAACUCUUAUGGACAUUUCGAAGAAGGUGCUGGCGCUUCAACAGUGAAUUCAUUCCUUAAAAGAAUUUGAACUUUGUAUUUAACGAAAAAGCCAAAAACACGUUUCAAAAUAAUAGUUGUUUGAUCUCAAAAAAUUGUGAUACUUACAUUUCUAAUUUUAAUAAACUCCUCUCUAAGUGUUUUUACA
This is a long non-coding RNA of Tribolium castaneum (red flour beetle), 1235 nucleotides long. RefSeq lists it as uncharacterized. The record is from RefSeq and is a predicted model, not a curated record. The transcript has 2 exons. Lineage: Eukaryota; Metazoa; Arthropoda; Insecta; Coleoptera; Tenebrionidae.